GACGAACGCUGGCGGCGUGCCUAACACAUGCAAGUCAGGGAGAAAGAGGUAGCAAUAUCUCGAGUAAACCGGCGAACGGGUGAGUAACACGUAGGUAACCUGCCCUCGAGUUGGGAAUAACUUCGAGAAAUCGAGGCUAAUACCGGAUAAUGCAACGAACUCGCAUGGGUUUGUUGUUAAAGUUCCGCGCAAGCGGAACGCUUGAGGAUGGACCUGCGGCCGAUUAGCUAGUUGGCGGAGAACAGCCCACCAAGGCGACGAUCGGUAGCCGACCUGAGAGGGUGACCGGCCACACUGGGACUGAGAUACGGCCCAGACUCCUACGGGAGGCAGCAGUGGGGAAUCUUGCGCAAUGGGCGAAAGCCUGACGCAGCGACGCCGCGUGAGGGAUGACGGCCU
RNAcentral lists this ribosomal RNA (399 nucleotides) under uncultured bacterium. RNAcentral's name for it is "bacterial SSU rRNA". It matches the Rfam family "Bacterial small subunit ribosomal RNA", at positions 28 to 417 of the family's 1533-position model. The record is from RNAcentral.